CAAGCACCAAGGUAUCAAGCUUUGCAACACACAAGAGAAUCCACCCUUAUGCUAUGCCCUAAUUUUAGUUUUGGAGCUCUCACUCACAAGAGGAGUGUUCUUACAAUCAAACACAAACUAAGUAAAUAAAACCUACAUUGUUCUAUAUAUAAAACAUUACAAACAAAUAGAGAAAUAAAAAAAGAUUCCUCCCAUAAAUGGGCUCUAAAAAAAACCCUUAAGUGUACCAAAAGGAUGGUUUUGGGACUCCUUUACACUUGGGCUUAUGUACUCCUUUAAGUGGUCUUCAAAAAAUUCUAAAAAAGUGUCCAUGUUCAUGAUCAUAAUUGUAUCAUCCUCUCCAUCUUGAGAGGAAUUUUCCCAUAAAUUCAUGACCUCACCUCUUUUAGAGAGGUAUCUUACACGACCCCUUACACGCCACGUUUCUUCUACUUUCUUCUCAAUUUGAAUCCCAACCUCUUCAUGCUCUCCAUCUUGAGGCUUGCUAUCAACCUUAGCCGAUUCAAUCACCACUUCCUCUCCUAGGUAGUAUAACUUCCUCUCCCUUAGGAUCACAUUCCUCUGAUUUAGACACUCACUAGCCUUGUGCCCCCACCCUUAACACUUGAAGCAUUGAAACCCCUUAGCAUUGGAAGUAGAAUUAAAUUUACCUUCAUACCUUGGAGGAUUUUUUGGACAGCCUUAGGGAUCUUGGGUUGGGCAGCCACGAAAAAGUUCUCUUUGAGCUCUCUCUCCACCUCUAAAGCCACUUGGAAGAUGUCCUCUAUGGUGUCGAAUUUAUGAAGCAUUAUGCGAGUGGAGAUGUCCUUGUUUAAACCAACCUUGAAGCACACAAUGUCAAGAAUUACUUGCUCUACCCGGUGGUCAAGUUUCAAUAUCAAUUGUUGAAAUUCAUCAUAGCAAGCCAUGACACUUUUUCUCCCUUGCCUCAAAUUAUAUAAUUUGGCAAGGAACUCAUGCCUAUAAGUCUCAGGAAAGUACCUUUACCGCAUAAGGAUCUUCAACCAAAAUCAAGGAGGAGGUUGUCCCCUGAUCACCUCAUUCCCGAACCGCUUAACAUACUCCUACCACGUAUUAGCAUACCCCUUAAAAUGAGCUAUCGCAUAGCAACUCUUAUUUUCCUCGGUAAGGUCAUUGAGUUGGAAUAUAUUGUCACACGAAUAUUCCCAAGAAAUAUACGCUUCAGUAUAACUCUCACCCUUGAAAAUUGGAAGACUAACUUUGAUGGAGUUUAUGCCCAAGUCUUGGUUUUGGUGUCUUUCCCUCACCUCUCGGCCUAGCUCACCAUGUCUACCCCUCAUUCUUUCUUCCAUCAAGUAAGAAUUACCAUAGACUUCAUAACCUUCAUUUCUUUUUUCCCCACCAUAUCCUUCCACACGAUUUGGUUGGUUUGGGUUAGGUUGGUUUGGAUUGGGUGGAAAAUAAGUUCUUUGGUCUAAUGGAGCUUGAAUUAGAAUGUGAGGCCUUUGGUUAAGUGAAGAGAUCAGGUUUGGUGUUGGUAUGUGGGUUGCAAAUGCUUCUUGUUGGACUUAGUGAAGUAGAGGGUAGGUUGGUCUAUCAAACUCUCGACUUUGGGAAGCAUUUGGUAGUUGUCUCGGUGGAUUAAUCAUUUGGUGUAACAUUUCGGGGGAAAUGGUAGGAAAUUUUUUUGAUCAUGUCCACUCGAGGACACAUGAUAGUGUUGAGGAGUAGAGGGGUGGCUCCUUUGGAUUUCCACUCGUUCCGAUCUCCCACUCAUAGUAGAUACAUCCCCUUUCAAUGAUGUUACAUCCGUUUCUAACUUCCCAAGACUCACUUGCAUUCUUUCCAAAGUGUGGUUGAGGCCUUCAAUAGAAUCCAUGAGGAUAUUGGUAUCAUUGUUGCCCACGGUUUGGGAGGGUUUUCCCUCCAUUUCAAUGUACCUAAGAAAAACACCUUCAAAACAAUAAACGAAUUAUUUGUAAAAUAAAGGUCCUCACACUCUCUCGUUAGUUUUUUUUCGCCUCUCGGGUUUCUUAACUCAAUCACACAAGUGUGGAAAGCUUGAUUAUAUUCCAUAAUUAGAAGGUGAAUCAAACCUCUACAACGACUCAAGGAAAUAAUAACAAAAAGACACACGAAGGAUCGUACACAUGAAGAACGGCUACAAAACUAACUUACAAUCUAGUACUAGCUUGUAAGUUAGUAAUGGAAUCAAAAAAAUGAAACUAGAACAUCAUAUUUUGAGCUUAAAAUGUCGUGUGAAUAGUGAUUUGAUGACGUGGAAGUACACUACUAGCCUUGGGUUUGUCAAAAAUUUACUUGCCCAUUUCAAGUCUUGACCAUUCACAAUUUGGACUUGGUGGAUUUGGUUAAUGGAGGAAAUUAUAGUCUUGGAGCUUCUUUUUCAAAUUAAAAAUAAGACUUGGACUUUCUUGUAUUCCUCCUUAUAACAUGGGUCUUUGAAUCAUGGAAAGUUGUUGGUAAAUGGUUGUUAAAGUCUUUGAAGUGAUGUGAACAAGACUUUCACCAACAAGUACUACAAAUUUAUCUUUCACCUUUUUAGAUCUAUUUUGCAAUUUAAAGCUUAACAAAAUGAUGAAUGUGGUGAAGAAAUCCAAGAACACAACAAAAACAUCGAGAACAUCCAACAACAAUUCUCCAAGAACUCAACAAGUCCACAACAACAAGGCCAAGGCUAGAACAACAACACCAACCACAGCCACCCCUUGUUCACAUCAACAACUUCAACAAAUUUAAGUUCAAGCUUAGAUUUGGACACUUUUAGUGUUGGUGAGAAAGAAAUCAACAUUUGAAACACUAUAAACAAACAAAUUACUACCAAUAUCUAGACACACAAACAAAAAUCUCGGCCAAGAACAAGAUGGAUAGAUUUCAACUUUUUUGGAAUUUUUGUUUUCAGUUUUCACUUCUUUUUUUUAUUUUCUAAGUAACAAACCAAAGAUUUACUUCGUAGGAACAAAAUAAACUCGGAUCUGAUACCAAAUGAUACAAGGAUGACCAAGAAAAUAAGAAAACAUACACCAAAACAGUCCACAAGUUGAGGAAACCCGAAACUAUUUUAGUGACCACUCUCGGAUUCGCUACUUAUAACACGGAUAGAGAGAACAACGAGUGUUAACACCUCAAAACAUCCAACCAACAAGUUAUAUUAGCACAAUAAAAUGAAGAACAACAAGGCUACAACAACUAGAACCUAUGGCUUUUACAACAAUACAAGGGAAACCCGAAACUAGAACAAGAAACAAAGAUAGAUAGUUAGACACAAUGAAGUUGUAAUCUUAAGAACCAAAGAAUGGUAACUCUUGGACCCUUAAUACCACACUCAACACGCACCUAACUCUUACAAUGACACAAGAGGGUGUCCACCUCUCAAGCACCAAGGUAUCAAGCUUUGCAACACACAAGAGUAUCCACCCUUAUGCUAUGCCCUGAUUUCGGUUUUGGAGCUCUCUCUCACAAGAGGAGUGUUCUUACAAUCAAACAUAAACUAAGUAAAUAAAACCUACAUUGUUCUAUUUAUACAACAUUACAAACAAAUAGAGAAAUGACAAAGGAGCCCAUACAAAAGAGCCCUCCUAUAAAUGUGCUCCAAAAACCCCCUUAAGUGUACCAAAAGGAUGGCUUUGGGCCUCGUUUACACUUGGUCUUGUGCACUCGUUUAAGUGGUCUUCAAAAAAUGCUCAAAAAGUGUCCAUGGUCAUGACCAUACUUGUAUCAUGGAGAAAGACAUUCAUUUAGUUAUGAUUGGAUUUCCCUCUUUGUUUGUGAAGAACGUAAUUGGGAGAUUUUAGCUAAUAAUCAACUUUCUUCAUUAAACCAUUUAGGUCCUUUUUCCCUUUGACAUUCUUGACAAUAAUGUACGGUGUUAGAUGAAGAUAGAGCAAGGUUCUAAGAAGAGACUUCCAUCAAUUUGAUGCUUAAACUGCUUGUCAGAUAACAUGAUAAAGUAUUGAUUCUCAUUGAGUCUUGCUUGGAUUACCAGUCAUUCUA
RNAcentral lists this long non-coding RNA (3972 nucleotides) under Capsicum annuum. RNAcentral describes it as "long non-coding RNA (CANN_LNC005443)". The record is from RNAcentral. Lineage: Eukaryota; Viridiplantae; Streptophyta; Magnoliopsida; Solanales; Solanaceae.